Molecule: ribosomal RNA, 305 nt
Filed under: uncultured bacterium
Lineage: Bacteria
Description: bacterial SSU rRNA
Rfam family: Bacterial small subunit ribosomal RNA
Source: RNAcentral
UUGACCUACGGGGGGCAGCAGUGAGGAAUAUUGGUCAAUGGGCGGGAGCCUGAACCAGCCAAGCCGCGUGAGGGAAGAAGGUACAGCGUAUCGUAAACCUCUUUUGUCAGGGAACAAAGGCGGGGACUAGUCCCCGGAUGAGGGUACCUGAAGAAAAAGCAUCGGCUAACUCCGUGCCAGCAGCCGCGGUAAUACGGAGGAUCCGAGCGUUAUCCGGAUUUAUUGGGUUUAAAGGGAGCGUAGAUGGGUUGUUAAGUCAGUUGUGAAAGUUUGCGGCUCAACCGUAAAAUUGCAAUUGAUACUGG